RNAcentral lists this ribosomal RNA (440 nucleotides) under uncultured Brevundimonas sp. RNAcentral's name for it is "bacterial SSU rRNA". It matches the Rfam family "Bacterial small subunit ribosomal RNA", at positions 338 to 795 of the family's 1533-position model. The record is from RNAcentral. Lineage: Bacteria; Pseudomonadati; Pseudomonadota; Alphaproteobacteria; Caulobacterales; Caulobacteraceae.
CCUACGGGUGGCAGCAGUGGGGAAUCUUGCGCAAUGGGCGAAAGCCUGACGCAGCCAUGCCGCGUGAAUGAUGAAGGUCUUAGGAUUGUAAAAUUCUUUCACCGGGGACGAUAAUGACGGUACCCGGAGAAGAAGCCCCGGCUAACUUCGUGCCAGCAGCCGCGGUAAUACGAAGGGGGCUAGCGUUGCUCGGAAUUACUGGGCGUAAAGGGAGCGUAGGCGGACAUUUAAGUCAGGGGUGAAAUCCCGGGGCUCAACCUCGGAAUUGCCUUUGAUACUGGGUGUCUUGAGUAUGAGAGAGGUGUGUGGAACUCCGAGUGUAGAGGUGAAAUUCGUAGAUAUUCGGAAGAACACCAGUGGCGAAGGCGACACACUGGCUCAUUACUGACGCUGAGGCUCGAAAGCGUGGGGAGCAAACAGGAUUAGAUACCCGUGUAGUC